This 257-nucleotide long non-coding RNA is filed under the name Elaeis guineensis (African oil palm). RNAcentral describes it as "long non-coding RNA (EGUI_LNC049800)". The record is from RNAcentral. Lineage: Eukaryota; Viridiplantae; Streptophyta; Magnoliopsida; Arecales; Arecaceae.
GCCUUGAGACUCUUGGCUAACAUCCGAGCCGCGUCCGCGUCUAUAUCUGCAAUGAAGGAAGAUCGACACAGUUUAGAAACAGAGCCGCAAAAAAAGGGAGAGUUCUGGAGCUAACCUAGGCUGGUCUGAAGGAUGCAGAGUUGCAGAGAUGGGGACAAUUCGAAGAAUACCUAAGGUCGAGAAGGACGCUGAGGAAGAAUGGAACUCUCAGGAAGAAGGAGGGACCGAAGAAACUUCUGUGCAAAGUGAGAUCCCUG